Grammomys surdaster is the source of this 111-nucleotide small nuclear RNA. The record is from RefSeq and is a predicted model, not a curated record. Lineage: Eukaryota; Metazoa; Chordata; Mammalia; Rodentia; Muridae.
GUGUUCGCUUUAACAGCACAUAUACUAAAAUUGGAAUAAUAGAAAGUUAGCAUGGCCCCUGCACAAGGAUGACAUGCAGAUUCCUAAAGCACCGUCCCUCCACUCGUUUUU